RNAcentral lists this ribosomal RNA (732 nucleotides) under uncultured Campylobacterota bacterium. RNAcentral's name for it is "bacterial SSU rRNA". It matches the Rfam family "Bacterial small subunit ribosomal RNA", at positions 603 to 1335 of the family's 1533-position model. The record is from RNAcentral. Lineage: Bacteria; Pseudomonadati; Campylobacterota.
UAUGGCUCAACCAUAGAACUGCAUCCAAAACUGAGGGGCUAGAGUCUGGGAGGGGAAGAUGGAAUUAGUGGUGUAGGGGUAAAAUCCGUAGAGAUCACUAGGAAUACCAAAAGCGAAGGCGAUCUUCUGGAACAGUACUGACGCUGAGGCGCGAAAGCGUGGGGAGCAAACAGGAUUAGAUACCCUGGUAGUCCACGCCCUAAACUAUGAAUGUUAGUCGUCGGGAGGCUCGUCCUCUCGGUGAUGCAGCUAACGCAUUAAACAUUCCGCCUGGGGAGUACGGUCGCAAGAUUAAAACUCAAAGGAAUAGACGGGGACCCGCACAAGUGGUGGAGCAUGUGGUUUAAUUCGAAGAUACGCGAAGAACCUUACCUGGCCUUGACAUUGAUAGAAUCUGCUAGAGAUAGCGGAGUGCCCUUCGGGGAGCUUGAAAACAGGUGCUGCACGGCUGUCGUCAGCUCGUGUCGUGAGAUGUUGGGUUAAGUCCCGCAACGAGCGCAACCCUCGUCACUAGUUACUAACGGUUCGGCCGAGGACUCUAGUGAGACUGCCUUCGUAAGGAGGAGGAAGGUGAGGACGACGUCAAGUCAUCAUGGCCCUUACGGCCAGGGCGACACACGUGCUACAAUGGGAUGUACAAUGAGACGCAAUACCGCGAGGUGGAGCAAAUCUAUAAAGCAUCUCUCAGUUCGGAUUGUAGUCUGCAACUCGACUACAUGAAGCUGGAAUCAC